Molecule: long non-coding RNA, 1540 nt
Filed under: Prunus persica (peach)
Lineage: Eukaryota; Viridiplantae; Streptophyta; Magnoliopsida; Rosales; Rosaceae
Description: long non-coding RNA (PPER_LNC001209)
Source: RNAcentral
GAAGGCACAUCUAAUAUUUUCAAUUACAAUACUUGAGGUUGUGGCAAAUUAACUUUCAUCACGACAGGACUAUGAAUGGCGCAAGGGGAGAGAGAGGGGUUAGUGGCGGAGGUCAUUGGAAAGCACCUGGGUUGGAAUGCUUGCUGAUACAUUUAUUUUUCAUUUAUUUAUGUUAUAUUUCAAAGAUAUUAGAUACACAUAAAUUAUAAUACUAUAAGGAGUCGUUUGAUACGAUAGAUUGGACUAAAUUCUGGGACUAUUUUGGAUUAGUUCGAAUUGACCUAAGUUGUAUUAAGUACUGAGCUACGUUUGUUGUUGCGUUAAACUAAAGAGCCGGAUUGUAAAAAUAAUAAAGACCAAUAUUUCGUGCUAUAUCAUACUAAAAAAAUAAUUAUUUUAUUAAUCUGUCUCUCUUUUUCUGUUUUCCAUUUUUUUUUUGGUAGCGUUUUCUUUCUUUCUCCCUUUUAUUUAUUCUUCUCACUCUCUCAAUUUUCUUUUUGUUCUCGUUUUUUUUUUUUUUCUUCCUCUUUCAUUCAAAAAUAAUUUUUUUUCUUCUGUCUCGAAAGCUCCUACCUACCUUUCUUUUUCCACUCUGACAAAAAAAACUCUAUUUUUCCAUUCAAAAACACUUUUUUUUCAUUUAUCUCUCGAACAACCCUAUUUCCCUGGUUCAUAAAAAAUAAGGAAGCUUGCUUCCCUAGCCUCCCUAGUUUUGAUUUAGGGUCUUUCAACUAGCCUUUGGGCUAGCUGGAUCUGCUUCCCCAUCCCUUUCAACUGUUGGAGGCCUUUAUUGGCAGAGACUUGCUAGAUGACAGAGCCAACUCAUUGAUUUGAUCUCUCUCUGUUUCUUGAACGCCACCAGGAAAGCUCUUCUUCCUUCCCUUUCAAUUUGGCCAAUGGUUUUAUCAUAUUAUUGGAUAUUGAACUUUUUGGUUUUGUUGGUUUCCUAAGUUCAUGUCUAUAUAUCAAUCUGCCUUUUGACUAGCCCAAACUUGGAGCGGCAACUAGAGUUAAUUGAGAGACUCAUCAGCAAAUUUCGAUUGGGUCUGUGGUGGUGGGGUUUUUAUUCAAGCCAAGGGUCGGAUAGCGCGCUCGCCAUUUUACGAACCACAUUUUGGCCUCGCUGUAUUAGACAAGCAAGUCCGGGGGUUUUUCCCUUACAAUCCAGUCAAAAUUGCUGACGUAGACUGAUUAAAAUUGCCAAAUGCAGAGGCUCAUGAUGCCUAUGGGACUAGGACAAGCAGCUUACACUAGACAUGAUAUCAUCCAAAACAAGGAAGGAAAAUGGACGACACGUCGUAUAAGGUCAAACCCAUAAUCUUAUUAUCUUUUUUUCUUCUUCUCAUUAAUUGUUAAAGGCAGGCUAUGGAACAGAAAUAUCAUUGCAGGACCUUUUGCCUUCCUUGAGGACUACUACAUAUCACACAGGUUACAGCAUGAGCCACUCCCUUUUCCCUUUUACUAGUAGAAAAAGAAAGAAGAUGAAGGACAAUAGGCAGAACGACAGCCCCAAAAUGCUUUGGUUUAUACUGACUGCACU